ACGCUGGCGGCACGCCUAACACAUGCAAGUCGAACGAAGUAGCAAUACUUAGUGGCAGACGGGUGAGUAACAUGUAGGUAUCUGCCCUUUGGCCUGGAAUAACACGAGGAAACUUGUGCUAAUACCGGAUAAGUCUUUACGGAGAAAGCUUUAUGCACCAUUGGAUGAGCCUGCACUUGAUUAGUUUGUUGGUAGGGUAAUGGCCUACCAAGACUGUGAUCAAUAGCUGAUUUGAGAGGAUGAUCAGCCACAUUGGGACUGAGACACGGCCCAAACUCCUACGGGAGGCAGCAGUGGGGAAUCUUGCACAAUGGAGGAAACUCUGAUGCAGCGAUGCCGCGUGAGUGAAGAAGGCCUUUGGGUUGUAAAGCUCUUUCGUCGGGGAAGAAAAUGACUGUACCCGAAUAAGAAGGUCCGGCUAACUUCGUGCCAGCAGCCGCGGUAAUACGAAGGGACCUAGCGUAGUUCGGAAUUACUGGGCUUAAAGAGUUCGUAGGUGGUUGAAAAAGUUGGUGGUGAAAUCCCAGAGCUUAACUCUGGAACUGCCAUCAAAACUUUUCAGCUAGAGUUUGAUAGAGGAAAGCAGAAUUUCUAGUGUAGAGGUGAAAUUCGUAGAUAUUAGAAAGAAUACCAAUUGCGAAGGCAGCUUUCUGGAUCAUUACUGACACUGAGGAACGAAAGCAUGGGUAGCGAAGAGGAUUAGAUACCCUCGUAGUCCAUGCCGUAAACGAUGUGUGUUAGACGUUGGAAAUUUAUUUUCAGUGUCGCAGCGAAAGCGAUAAACACACCGCCUGGGGAGUACGACC
Molecule: ribosomal RNA, 806 nt
Filed under: uncultured Pelagibacteraceae bacterium
Lineage: Bacteria; Pseudomonadati; Pseudomonadota; Alphaproteobacteria; Candidatus Pelagibacterales; Candidatus Pelagibacteraceae
Description: bacterial SSU rRNA
Rfam family: Bacterial small subunit ribosomal RNA
Source: RNAcentral